AUUGAACGCUGGCGGCACGCCUAACACAUGCAAGUCGAGCGGUAGCAGGACCUGUAGCAAUACAGGUUGCUGACGAGCGGCGGACGGGUGAGGAAUACGUAGGAACCUGCCUUAUAGUGGGGGAUAACUAAGGGAAACUUUAGCUAAUACCGCAUAAUCUCGUGAGAGGAAAGCUGCCGCAAGGUGGCGCUAAAAGAGGGGCCUGCGUCCGAUUAGCUAGUUGGUGAGGUAAGAGCUCACCAAGGCGAUGAUCGGUAACUGGUCUGAGAGGACGACCAGUCACACUGGGACUGAGACACGGCCCAGACUCCUACGGGAGGCAGCGGUGGGGAAUAUUGGACAAUGGGGGCAACCCUGAUCCAGCGAUGCCGCGUGAGUGAAGAAGGCCUUCGGGUCGUAAAGCUCUUUAGGUUGGGAAGAAGGGUGUUAGAGGAAAUGCUAAUACUUUGACGGUACCGACAGAAUAAGCACCGGCAAACUCUGUGCCAGCAGCCGCCGCGG
This 501-nucleotide ribosomal RNA is filed under the name uncultured bacterium. Its description in RNAcentral is "partial 16S ribosomal RNA". It matches the Rfam family "Bacterial small subunit ribosomal RNA", at positions 29 to 523 of the family's 1533-position model. The record is from RNAcentral.